UAGGCUGCAACUCGCCUACAUGAAGUCGGAAUCGCUAGUAAUCGCGGAUCAGCAUGCCGCGGUGAAUACGUUCCCGGGCCUUGUACACACCGCCCGUCACACCAUGAGAGUCUGUAACACCCAAAGCCGGUGGGAUAACCUUUAUAGGAGUCAGCCGUCUAAGGUAGGACAGAUGAUUAGGGUGAAGUCGUAACAAGGUAGC
RNAcentral lists this ribosomal RNA (202 nucleotides) under uncultured bacterium. RNAcentral's name for it is "partial 16S ribosomal RNA". It matches the Rfam family "Bacterial small subunit ribosomal RNA", at positions 1301 to 1500 of the family's 1533-position model. The record is from RNAcentral.